RNAcentral lists this ribosomal RNA (250 nucleotides) under uncultured prokaryote. Its description in RNAcentral is "partial 16S ribosomal RNA". It matches the Rfam family "Bacterial small subunit ribosomal RNA", at positions 524 to 773 of the family's 1533-position model. The record is from RNAcentral.
UACGGAGGGUGCAAGCGUUAUCCGGAUUUACUGGGUUUAAAGGGUGCGUAGGCGGAUAGGUAAGUCAGGGGUGAAAUCUUCGAGCUUAACUCGGAAAUUGCCUUUGAUACUAUCUAUCUUGAAUAUUGUGGAGGUAAGCGGAAUAUGUCAUGUAGCGGUGAAAUGCUUAGAUAUGACAUAGAACACCUAUUGCGAAGGCAGCUUACUACGCAUAUAUUGACGCUGAGGCACGAAAGCGUGGGGAUCAAAC